This 216-nucleotide ribosomal RNA is filed under the name Glomeromycotina sp. Its description in RNAcentral is "partial small subunit ribosomal RNA". The stretch from base 46 to 216 matches the Rfam family "Eukaryotic small subunit ribosomal RNA", at positions 692 to 864 of the family's 1831-position model. Lineage: Eukaryota; Fungi; Glomeromycota. The record is from RNAcentral.
GGGUCAGUAGGUCGGUCGUGCCACCGGUACGUACUGGUCUCACCGAUUCCUCCUUCCUGAAGAACCGUAAUGCCAUUAAUUUGGUGUUGCGGGGAAACAGGACUGUUACUUUGAAAAAAUUAGAGUGUUUAAAGCAAGCUAACGCUUGAAUACAUUAGCAUGGAAUAAUGAAAUAGGACGAUCGAUCCUAUUUUGUUGGUUUCUAGGAUUGACGUA